ACUUCUCUCUCUGUCUCUCCUGCCACCAUGUGAAGAAGGUGCUUGUUUCCCCUUUGCCUUCCGCCAUGAGUGUAAGUUUCCUGAGGUCUCCCAGUCAUACUGCUGGUUAAGCCUGCAGAACGGCUGGUCUUGAACUCCCAGCCUCAAGCCAUCCUCCCGCCUUGGCCUUUCAAAGUGCUGGAUUACAAGCGUGAGCCACCGUGCACAGCCAAGACACAAUUUUAAAUCGAGCGGUCAGGAAGCCUCCUGGAGAAAAUGACGUUUGAACAAAGACAUGAAGAAAGUGGAGAAUAUUUGGAGAAAAGCAUUUCAGGCAGAGGAAAGUGCCAGGGCAGAGGCCCCGAGGACAGGAAAAUGAGACCCACAGAAGUUCAAGUCACCAGGCCAGUUAUUGUUGGGCUAGCACUUGAAGCCAGGUCUGCCUGAAUUUAGGGCCUCAGCUCUUUCCCACGCAUUUUUAGCCCAGAACCAAGCUGUUCAUAAAAGGUGUGCCUGCAAAUAGGAAACUAGAGAGCAUGGGCCCUCAGAGAGAGCUCUGAACCCCAUCUUCGACCUCGAACCUGUCCUUGGACUGAACCUGUCUUUAGGAGGUCUGCCCAUACGGAUGAAUCUGGAGCAGAGGCCGGGCUCAGCAGGAGAGCUUCACAAAACUGAGAUUCGAUGAAGCAGAGCCCCGUUUUAAGGGCUGCACAAAUCCACCCGGA
Molecule: long non-coding RNA, 704 nt
Filed under: Homo sapiens (human)
Lineage: Eukaryota; Metazoa; Chordata; Mammalia; Primates; Hominidae
Description: HSALNT0370453
Source: RNAcentral